This 422-nucleotide long non-coding RNA is filed under the name Musa acuminata (dwarf banana). RNAcentral describes it as "long non-coding RNA (MACU_LNC011015)". The record is from RNAcentral. Lineage: Eukaryota; Viridiplantae; Streptophyta; Magnoliopsida; Zingiberales; Musaceae.
AUCUUCAUGCUCGUCAUUUCCUCCUCCCCUCUCUCUCUUGCCUGUGGCUACUGUCCUCCUUCUACUCCCAAGACCCCGAAAGGACCCAUCACCGUGCCUCCCAUCAUCGUCAACCCACCCAUCACCGUGCCUCCCAUCGUCGUCAGGCCGCCCAUCACCGUGCCUCCCAUCGUCGUCAAGCCGCCCAUCACCGUGCCUCCCAUCAUCGUCAGGCCGCCCAUCACCGUGCCUCCCAUCAUCGUCAAGCCGCCCAUCACGUUGCCUCCCAUCAUCGUCAAGCCGCCCAUCACGUUGCCUCCCAUCAUCGUCAAGCCGCCCAUCACGUUGCCUCCCAUCAUCGUCAAGCCACCCAUCACAGUACCGCCUAUCACGGUGCCACCAGUCAUCGGUGGCGGGAAGCCACCUGGGACCGGAACCGCCGG